GGACCCAUAGCUCAGUGGGGGAGCAAUCGGCUGCAGUCUGGUAGGUCAGCGGUUCAAUCCCGCUUGGGUCCU
Transfer RNA from Coccomyxa subellipsoidea C-169, 72 nucleotides. It matches the Rfam family "tRNA". From Rfam's summary of the family: Transfer RNA (tRNA) molecules are approximately 80 nucleotides in length. The record is from Rfam. NCBI's taxonomy places the organism in Eukaryota, Viridiplantae, Chlorophyta, Trebouxiophyceae, Coccomyxaceae.